AGAUUGAACGCUGGCGGCAUGCCUUACACAUGCAAGUCGAACGGUAGAGUAGCAAUACUUGAGAGUGGCGAACGGGUGAGUAAUAUAUCGGAACGUGCCCAGUCGUGGGGGGAUAACGUAGAGAAAUUUACGCUAAUACCGCAUACGAUCUAAGGAUGAAAGCGGGGGACCGUAAGGCCUCGCGCGAUUGGAGCGGCUGAUAUCAGAUUAGGUUGUUGGUGAGGUAAAAGCUCACCAAGCCGACGAUCUGUAGCUGGUUUGAGAGAACGACCAGCCACACUGGGACUGAGACACGGCCCAGACUCCUACGGGAGGCAGCAGUGGGGAAUUUGGACAAUGGGCGAAAGCCUGAUCCAGCAAUGCCGCGUGCAGGAAGAAGGCCUUCGGGUUGUAACUGUCUUUAGUACGGAACGAAACGGUCUGCUUUAAUACAGUGGACUAAGUGUAACGGUACCGUAAGAAUAAGACACCGGACUAACUACGUGACCGAGCAGCCGACGGUAAUCGUAGA
RNAcentral lists this ribosomal RNA (511 nucleotides) under uncultured soil bacterium. RNAcentral describes it as "bacterial SSU rRNA". It matches the Rfam family "Bacterial small subunit ribosomal RNA", at positions 26 to 531 of the family's 1533-position model. The record is from RNAcentral.